This 194-nucleotide ribosomal RNA is filed under the name endosymbiont of Acharax sp. RNAcentral describes it as "partial 16S ribosomal RNA". It matches the Rfam family "Bacterial small subunit ribosomal RNA", at positions 338 to 524 of the family's 1533-position model. The record is from RNAcentral.
CCUACGGGAGGCAGCAGUGAGGAAUAUUGCACAAUGGGGGCAACCCUGAUGCAGCAAUGCCGCGUGUAUGAAGAAGGCCUGAGGGUUGUAAAGUACUUUCAAUUGGGAGGAAAAGUUUAAGGCUAAUACCCUUGAACCGUGACGUUACCAUUAGAAGAAGCACCGGCUAACUCCGUGCCAGCAGCCGCGGUAAU